Molecule: long non-coding RNA, 1474 nt
Organism: Lontra canadensis (Northern American river otter)
Lineage: Eukaryota; Metazoa; Chordata; Mammalia; Carnivora; Mustelidae
Exons: 3
Source: RefSeq, a predicted model, not a curated record
ACGCCUCGCCCGUCCAGCGGGGCACAAAGAAAUCCCAGUCUCUUCGUAAACUUUGUGCUUCCAGUUAUGCCGCCCCCUCCCCUAGUCUCCACCCCCGCCCUUCCAGCUUCUUGGCAGGAAGGUUAGGCCCCUGGCAAAAUCCUCGGCGUGAGGCAGCUGAUCACAAAUGCCAACUGUGUGUCUUGGGGCCAGUUAAGCCCUCUCAUCUGCCCGGGCUCUCUAGAGACCAUUUCAAUGCUCUCAAGGUUCCCAGGAGACCGCUGCGGACGUGGACCAUCCCCCACUUAGCCCGCACGGAUGGGAUGCUGAGCGGUGUCCUCAAAGUGCUCUCUCUCACCUCGAGUUUUCAUUUCUAGAUUGUAAAAAUUCCGAAUUUGGAAACAGGCAGAUAUUUUUUCGUCAUAUCAAAAAGGAGGACCAUUAACUAGGUGAUUAGCCCUAGGUGGGAAAUGAACCGUCUCUAAUCAGAAUACUAACUUCUUGAGGAAGUCGGUGGAAGUUCUGAAGUCCCACCCCAUCCCAUGACCUUUAAUUCUUUUUAGUUCUUCUGCCACAGGGAAGCAGCCAGCGACUAAUAAAAGAUUUGAUCUUGCCAUAAUUUCCCAAGCAGACUCACUGAUUUCAUCUCUACAUAAUGGUUCAUUUUGAAAACUUUCGGCUUUCAAAGACAAAUCAUUGAAGAAUCACAUAUAUACUAUUCUGAGAGAAGAGAGUCAUGGGAUCAAGUCUAUUUAAAAAAAAAAAAAAGAAGAAGAAGAAGAAAAGAAAGAAAGUUCUUUGUUGCUAAGUCUGUAUAAUACAUUCACAUCUCCAAGUAUAAAAUAAAUAUUAAAGGAGUAUCACCUGAGAUUUUAGGGGACAUCUGUAGAUUUUGCCUGAUUAACAUCCAUUCUCUUUUCAGGUAAUAAUGCUGUAAUAUCUUUUAAAGAAUUACUCUUCCUCACCCAGUAUUUGGUCAUGUGAUACAAAUGUGACUGUCCUCAAUCCCUGACUAGUAUAUUCUAGGUGUUUGUCUACAGUGAUUGGUUAAAUGGCCCGAUUUGUUCCCAUUAGUCAGCCCUGGAAUUUUUUCCUGUUCCGGUGGAACCACUGAGGGAAAGGUGCUGUUUUUCUGCUGGGCUCCACCGGGAGAAUGCAAAUCCUGUCCUGCAAAAUCUGCUGUUGCCCAUCCUUGUUGGAAGAAACUGUUAAGAGCGCUGCCAACACAGAGGACUAAUUUUGUCUUAUCUUAGGAUCUGAUUUUUGGGAAAUCCAAACUAAGAUACCCAUCAACAUUUCAAUAUUACUUUGUUUUGGAUCCAUCAACAUUAUCUUUGUGUCUCCAUAAACAUUAGAGUCAUUUCUAUUAUAUGUCACUUUCAUCUAUUUGGCUAAGCUAACACUUAACGCACCUUUGUUGUCUUAGUAUAGAUGGCAUUUUUCACAGGAAGAUAUCACUUAUCUCCCAGUCUCAGUGAGAUGCUUCUUCUCCUUU